UAGGGAAGAAGCUAGAUCAUAGCAAUUAGUUGUUACCUAAUAGAAAGUGAACAUUUUCACCUACCCUAU
RNAcentral lists this transfer RNA (69 nucleotides) under Anodonta cygnea. Its description in RNAcentral is "tRNA-Asn". The record is from RNAcentral. Lineage: Eukaryota; Metazoa; Mollusca; Bivalvia; Unionida; Unionidae.